CCUACGGGAGGCAGCACUAGGGAAUCUUCCACAAUGGGCGAAAGCCUGAUGGAGCAAUACCGCGUGAGUGAAGAAGGGUUUCGGCUUGUAAAACUAUGUUGUUGGAAAAGAACGUAUGUGAUAGUAACUGAUCAGUAGUGAC
This 142-nucleotide ribosomal RNA is filed under the name uncultured bacterium. Its description in RNAcentral is "partial 16S ribosomal RNA". It matches the Rfam family "Bacterial small subunit ribosomal RNA", at positions 338 to 494 of the family's 1533-position model. The record is from RNAcentral.